Molecule: long non-coding RNA, 2078 nt
Organism: Homo sapiens (human)
Lineage: Eukaryota; Metazoa; Chordata; Mammalia; Primates; Hominidae
Source: Ensembl
GCGGCCGCCCGGAGGACACUGAUGCUUCUGGAGCUCGCGAAGGGUCCCCCGCGGGAGAGGAACAAGGCCGCUUGCGCUCCGCAGAGGCGCAGGCACGGGGCUGGGGCCCGGGGCGGGGGCGCGGGUGGGCGGACCCCUCCCGCAAGCCCAUGAUGGCCAGGCCAAGGCCGCUGGGAAAGGCAGGACGCUCGCCCAUGCGCUGCCAGCUGGGCUUUUCUCCUUCGCCCGCCCUGUGUUCCAGGGCGCGACCCCGUUCGGUCCAGCCGCUGGCUCCGGGGCUGAACCCCAGGUAGAACUGGAAGAUUUUGCUGAAAGAUUGGACAUGGCAUUCAGAGAAACAGAGGUUUUAAUGACAAACUCCAAGUUUUUGGCUGGAGCAACUGGAAGAAUGAGGUUGCCAUGAACCGAAAAGAGAGAUUGCAGAAGUAACCAAAUUUACUCACGUAGGCCAGGAAUUUCUAUGACGUGUUCCAAAUUCAGCCUCUCACUGAACACUUCCAGAGCAAGGCAACAUAAACAUCUGCAAGAAGAACAUUGUGUGAGAAAUAUCAAGUGAGAGUGGAAGAGUCUGCGGAGGGCCUCCCUGGGGCUCACCUGUGCUUUUGCCUGAGCUUCACCGUGUCAAGCAAUGUAAAAUGAACCUGCUUCCCCUUCAUCUUCCACCAUGAUUAUAAGUUUCCUGAGGAAUCUCCAGCCAUGCUUCCUGUACAGUCUGCAGAAUUGUAUUUGGCAGAAGAAAUUUCUAAGCAGCAAAGCAUGAAAGAUGUGGCCCAGUUGCUUCUAACAGCAUAAUCUCAUGUGUGAGCAAAGAGACGAUCUGAAACUGGAACUUAUAUUUUAAACGGGAGCAGAGCAUGAAAGUUUAGAAAAUAUGCAGCCUGACGAUAUGGUAGAAAAGAAAAACCCAUUUUUCUGGGGAGGAAUUCAAGCUGGCUGCAUAAAUUUGCAUAAAUAAAGAGGAGCCAAAUGUUAAUAACCAAGACAACGGGGAAAAUGCCUCAAAGGCAUUCCAGAGACCUUUGUGGCAGCCCCUCCCAUUACAGGCCUGAAGGCCUAGGAGGGAAGAAUGGUUUCAUGGGCCAGGCCAAAGGCCCCGCUGGAUGGGCCCUGGGACACUGCUCCUUGUGUCCUAGUCAUUCCAGCUCCAGCCAUGGCUAAAAGGUCCCCAGAUACAUCUGAGGCCACUGCUCCAGAAGAUGCCAGCUAUAAGCCAUGGUGACUUCUAUGUGGUGUUAAGCCUGUGCGUGCACAGAGGGCAAGAGUUGAGGCUUGGGAGCCUCCACUUAGAUUUCAGCGGAUAUAUGGAAAUACCUGGAUGUCCAGGCAGAAGUCUGCUGCAGGGUUGGAGCCCUCAUGGAGAACCUCUACUAAGGGCAGUGAGGAGGGGAAAUGUGGGGUUGGAGCCCUCACACAGAGUCCCCUCUGGGGCACUGCCUAGUGGAGCUGUGAAAAGAGGGCCACUGUCCUCCAGACCCCAGAAUGGUAGAGCCACUGGCAGCUUAUACCGUGUGUCUGGAAAAGCCUCAGGCACUCAACACCAACCCUUGAGAGUAGCCAUGGUAGCUGAGCCCUGCAGAACCACAGGGGUGCAGAUGCCCAAGGCCUUGGGAGCCCACCCCUUGCAUCAGUGUGUCCUGGAUGUGAGACAUGGAGUCAAAAGAUAUUAUUUUGGAGCUUUAAGAUUUAAUGACUGACCUGCUGGGUUUCAGACUUGCAUGGGGCCUAUAGCCCCUUUGUUUGGGCCAAUUUCUCCCUUUUGGAUCAGGCAUAUUUACCUGAUGCCUGUACCCCAUUGUAUCUUGGAAGUAACUAACUUGUUUUUUAUGUUAUAGGCUCAUAGACAGGAGUGACUUGCCUUGUCUUAAAUGAGACUUGGACUCUGGACUUUUGAGUUAAUGCUGAAAUGAGUUAAGACUUGGGGGACAGUUGAGAAGGGAUGAUUGUAUUUUGCAAUGUGAGAAGGACAUGAGAUUUGGGAGGGGCCAGGGGUGGGAUGAUAUGGUUUGGAUUGUGUCCCCACCCAAAUCUCAUGGUAAAUUAUAAUCUCCAAUGUUGGAGGAGGGGCCUGGUGGUGGGGG